This 489-nucleotide ribosomal RNA is filed under the name uncultured archaeon. Its description in RNAcentral is "bacterial SSU rRNA". It matches the Rfam family "Archaeal small subunit ribosomal RNA", at positions 40 to 538 of the family's 1478-position model. The record is from RNAcentral.
UGNGCUAACACUGCGAGUCGAUGGGGCAAUACAAGGCGUCGGCUCAGUAACACCUAGUGCAACCUACCUUAUGGACGGGGAUAACCUCGGGAAACUGAGAAUAAUACCCGAUAGAUCAUUAUGCCUGGAACGGUUUAUGGUCAAAAUGAAUUUCGCCAUAGGAUGGGACUGCGGUCUAUCAGCUUGUUGGUGAGGUAAUGGCCCACCAAGGCUAUAACAGAUACGGGCUCUGAGAGGAGAGGCCCGGAGAUGGGUACUGAGACACGGACCCAGGUCCUAUGGGGCGCAGCAGGCGAGAAAACUUUGCAAUGUGCGAAAGCACGACAAGGUUAAUCCGAGUGUUUCCUGCUAAGGAAUCUUUUGUCAGUCGUAAAACCACUAACGAAUAAGGGGUGGGCAAGUUCUGGUGUCAGCCGCCGCGGUAAAACUAGCACCUNAGUGGUCAAGGANGAUUAUUGGGCCUAAGCAUCCGAANCUGCUUUGUNAGGU